This 253-nucleotide ribosomal RNA is filed under the name uncultured bacterium. RNAcentral's name for it is "partial 16S ribosomal RNA". It matches the Rfam family "Bacterial small subunit ribosomal RNA", at positions 524 to 776 of the family's 1533-position model. The record is from RNAcentral.
UACGAAGGGGGCUAGCGUUGCUCGGAAUCACUGGGCGUAAAGGGUGCGUAGGCGGGUUUUUAAGUCAGGGGUGAAAUCCUGGAGCUCAACUCCAGAACUGCCUUUGAUACUGAAGAUCUUGAGUCCGGGAGAGGUGAGUGGAACUGCGAGUGUAGAGGUGAAAUUCGUAGAUAUUCGGAAGAGCACCAGUGGCGAAGGCGGCUCACUGGACUGGUAUUGACGCUGAGGUGCGAAAGCGUGGGGAGCAAACAGG